GUUUUUACAUUAAUGACCAUAAUAAGUGUAGUCAAACCUCUAUUGAGUGUUCCCAUUAUUGUCCCAAAGCAGCAGCUUUGGUUUGCAUACUCUAAAUUUAUUCAUCCACCUACCGUUGUAAAUUGAUACCAGCUAUUGUCAUCGUAAUUUCCGUCUUUAAAACCUUGGGCAAGGGAAUCUUUCUGUACGAAACACUGUUCGAUGUUGCAGUGGUAGAUCACGUGAAGGAUAAAGACAAAUUUGGAAAAGACCUUCAUUUACUGUCGCUAUAAGACUGGACCGUUACAUGCAGAGGUUUUAAUUGGCGGUUCUCGAUCAGGCAUUCGAGACGUUGCCCAUUUAAGCAUUGCAUUCUUCGCUACAUUUCUUCAUUCUGCAUUCUUCAAGAUGUAUUGAUGGAGUUAAGUUUCUGCGGACAGAUUUCGAGCUGUUUUCAUGAGUGAAGAAAAGUGAGGAGAGGAAGUUGAGUGAAAAAUGGUCUUUGAAGGUGGUUUGAAGUUUGAACUGCAGCAUGCAGAAAGGUUUUGUUUAUAGACUUGCCUUGGAUGAGGGCCAUAGUUGAUGGUGGUGAAGAUCAUUAAGAGUGCCAACAAGCAAUUCCGAUUAACGAAUGAAAGUGUGCACUUCUAGCAACAUUUAUGCUUAAGUAAAGCAUAAUGGUCUUUCCACCACUUGUUCAUUCUUCCACCAGCAACUUUCUUCAUUCUUCCAUCACUUGUUCAGGUGCUUUGGUCUUUCCAUUCAUCCACCAAUUUUAUUUUUCUAUGAAUAACUUCAUUGUGGUUGAUACUUUUACCGAUGAUGAUUUUAAUUUUAUUGUAGCUUUGGACUGCUGAAUGUCUUAGUUUGGCUUGUUCCAAUGGUGAUGUUUUUUUCUCUAGAAUUCUAAGUUGGUCUUUGUUGAAGAUAAGGUAAAAAAAAAUUGAGUCCUUGUUCUUGGAGAAGGAUUGAGGAGGACCAUGCCAAUCCAACCAUUCCAUUUGAAUGAAGAAGCAAUCCCCUAACAACCACAUCAUGAUAUUUUUUACACUUGGAAAGAAGUCUUGUUCAUUCUGUAAAUUUUGAUAUGUAAAUUAAAUAAAGCUUUGCUCAUUUGGUA
Long non-coding RNA from Vigna radiata var. radiata (mung bean), 1099 nucleotides. RefSeq lists it as uncharacterized. The transcript is spliced from 5 exons. NCBI's taxonomy places the organism in Eukaryota, Viridiplantae, Streptophyta, Magnoliopsida, Fabales, Fabaceae. The record is from RefSeq and is a predicted model, not a curated record.